This 253-nucleotide ribosomal RNA is filed under the name uncultured bacterium. RNAcentral describes it as "partial 16S ribosomal RNA". It matches the Rfam family "Bacterial small subunit ribosomal RNA", at positions 524 to 776 of the family's 1533-position model. The record is from RNAcentral.
UACGUAGGGGGCAAGCGUUGUCCGGAUUUAUUGGGCGUAAAGAGCGUGUAGGCGGCUUUACAGGUCCGUUGUGAAAACUCGAGGCUCAACCUCGAGACGCCGGUGGAAACCGUAAAGCUAGAGUCCGGAAGAGGAGAGUGGAAUUCCUGGCGUAGCGGUGAAAUGCGCAGAUAUCAGGAAGAACACCCGUGGCGAAGGCGGCUCUCUGGGACGGUACUGACGCUGAGACGCGAAAGCGUGGGGAGCGAACAGG